GAAAAGAAACCAACAGGGAUUGCCUUAGUAACGGCGAGUGAAGCGGCAACAGCUCAAAUUUGAAAUCUGGCCCUCGGGUCCGAAUUGUAAUUUGUAGAGGAUGAUUUUGGUGCGGUAUCUUCCGAGUUCCUUGGAACAGGACGCCUUAGAGGGUGAGAGCCCCGUACGGUUGAAUGCCUAGCCUCUGUAAAUCUCCUUCGACGAGUCGAGUAGUUUGGGAAUGCUGCUCUAAAUGGGAGGUAAAUUUCUUCUAAAGCUAAAUAUUGGCCAGAGACCGAUAGCGCACAAGUAGAGUGAUCGAAAGAUGAAAAGCACUUUGAAAAGAGGGUUAAAUAGCACGUGAAAUUGUUGAAAGGGAAGGAUUUGUGACCAGACUUUUUCUGGGCGGAUCAUCCGGGGUUCUCUCCGGUGCACUUUGUCCAGUAAAGGCCAGCAUCGAUUUUCGGCGGCGGAUAAAAGCAGUGGGAAUGUGGCUCCCUACGGGGAGUGUUAUAGCCCAUUGUAUAAUACGCUGCUGGGGAUCGAGGUACGCGCUUCUGCAAGGAUGCUGGCGU
This 554-nucleotide ribosomal RNA is filed under the name uncultured fungus. RNAcentral's name for it is "eukaryotic LSU rRNA". It matches the Rfam family "Eukaryotic large subunit ribosomal RNA", at positions 56 to 632 of the family's 3401-position model. The record is from RNAcentral. Lineage: Eukaryota; Fungi.